AGAGUUUGAUCAUGGCUCAGAAUCAACGCUGGCGGCGCGCUUAACACAUGCAAGUCGCACGAGAAAGUGGAGCAAUCCAUGAGUAAAGUGGCGUACGGGUGAGUAACACGUGGAUCAUUUACCUCUUGGUGGGGAAUAACCCUGGGAAACCGGGGCUAAUACCGCAUAAGCCUGCGAAGGGAAAGCGACGUCUUAAAAACGCCGCGCCGAGAGAGGAGUCCGCGGCCGAUUAGCUUGUUGGUAGGGUAAUGGCCUACCAAGGCAAUGAUCGGUAGCCGGCCUGAGAGGGCACACGGCCACACUGGCACUGAAACACGGGCCAGACUCCUACGGGAGGCAGCAGUGGGGAAUCUUGCACAAUGGGGGCAACCCUGAUGCAGCGACGCCGCGUGAGCGAUGAAGCCCUUCGGGGUGUAAAGCUCUUUCGGCGGGAACGAUAAUGACGGUACCCGCAGAAGAAGCUGCGGCUAACUACGUGCCAGCAGCCGCGGUAAUACGUAGGCAGCAAGCGUUGUUCGGAGUUACUGGGCGUAAAGAGUGUGUAGGCGGUUCUCUAAGUUCCGUGUGAAAUCUCCCGGCUCAACUGGGAGGGUGCGCGGAAAACUGGAGGGCUUGAGUAUGGGAGAGGAAAGCGGAAUUCCUGGUGUAGCGGUGAAAUGCGUAGAUAUCAGGAGGAACACCUGCGGUGUAGACAGCUUUCUGGACCAUCACUGACGCUGAGACACGAAAGCGUGGGUAGCAAACAGGAUUAGAUACCCUAGUAGUCC
Molecule: ribosomal RNA, 767 nt
Filed under: uncultured bacterium
Lineage: Bacteria
Description: bacterial SSU rRNA
Rfam family: Bacterial small subunit ribosomal RNA
Source: RNAcentral